This 356-nucleotide ribosomal RNA is filed under the name Clostridioides difficile. RNAcentral describes it as "bacterial SSU rRNA". It matches the Rfam family "Bacterial small subunit ribosomal RNA", at positions 1 to 364 of the family's 1533-position model. The record is from RNAcentral. Lineage: Bacteria; Bacillati; Bacillota; Clostridia; Peptostreptococcales; Peptostreptococcaceae.
UUUUAUUUGAGAGUUUGAUCCUGGCUCAGGAUGAACGCUGGCGGCGUGCCUAACACAUGCAAGUUGAGCGAUUUACUUCGGUAAAGAGCGGCGGACGGGUGAGUAACGCGUGGGUAACCUACCCUGUACACACGGAUAACAUACCGAAAGGUAUGCUAAUACGGGAUAAUAUAUUUGAGAGGCAUCUCUUGAAUAUCAAAGGUGAGCCAGUACAGGAUGGACCCGCGUCUGAUUAGCUAGUUGGUAAGGUAACGGCUUACCAAGGCGACGAUCAGUAGCCGACCUGAGAGGGUGAUCGGCCACAUUGGAACUGAGACACGGUCCAAACUCCUACGGGAGGCAGCAGUGGGGAAUAU